RNAcentral lists this ribosomal RNA (492 nucleotides) under uncultured bacterium. RNAcentral describes it as "partial 16S ribosomal RNA". It matches the Rfam family "Bacterial small subunit ribosomal RNA", at positions 29 to 507 of the family's 1533-position model. The record is from RNAcentral.
AGUGAACGCUGGCGGUAGGCCUAACACAUGCAAGUCGAACGGCAGCACAGUAAGAGCUUGCUCUUACGGGUGGCGAGUGGCGGACGGGUGAGGAAUACAUCGGAAUCUACUUUUUCGUGGGGGAUAACGUAGGGAAACUUACGCUAAUACCGCAUACGACCUACGGGUGGAAGCAGGGGAUCUUCGGACCUUGCGCGAUUGAAUGAGCCGAUGUCGGAUUAGCUAGUUGGCGGGGUAAAGGCCCACCAAGGCGACGAUCCGUAGCUGGUCUGAGAGGAUGAUCAGCCACACUGGAACUGAGACACGGUCCAGACUCCUACGGGAGGCAGCAGUGGGGAAUAUUGGACAAUGGGCGAAAGCCUGAUCCAGCCAUACCGCGUGGGUGAAGAAGGCCUUCGGGUUGUAAAGCCCUUUUGUUGGGAAAGAAAAGCAGCAGGUUAAUACCCCGCCGUUCUGUCGGUACCCAAAGAAUAAGCACCGGCUAACUUCGUG